CGAGCCUACGGGACGCAGCAGUAGGGAAUCUUCCACAAUGGGCGAAAGCCUGAUGGAGCAACGCCGCGUGGGGGAAGAAGGUCUUCGGAUCGUAAAACCCUGUUGUUAGAGAAGAAAGAGCGUGAGAGUAACUGUUCACGUUUCGACGGUAUCUAACCAGAAAGCCACGGCUAACUACGUGCCAGCAGCCGCGGUAAUACGUAGGUGGCAAGCGUUAUCCGGAUUUAUUGGGCGUAAAGGGAACGCAGGCGGUCUUUUAAGGCUGAUGUGGAAGCCUUCGGCUUAACCG
This 289-nucleotide ribosomal RNA is filed under the name uncultured bacterium. Its description in RNAcentral is "partial 16S ribosomal RNA". It matches the Rfam family "Bacterial small subunit ribosomal RNA", at positions 333 to 615 of the family's 1533-position model. The record is from RNAcentral.